RNAcentral lists this ribosomal RNA (433 nucleotides) under uncultured bacterium. Its description in RNAcentral is "partial 16S ribosomal RNA". It matches the Rfam family "Bacterial small subunit ribosomal RNA", at positions 28 to 507 of the family's 1533-position model. The record is from RNAcentral.
GACGAACGCUGGCGGCAUGCCUAACACAUGCAAGUCGAACGAGACCUCCCGGCUUAGUGGCGCUGCGGUGCGUAACGACUGGGAACCUACACUUAAGUUCGCUAUCCCUCACUGUAGGGUGUGCUAAUAAAGGAUAAUGUCAUAGGACAUAAGAUUUCUCGCUUUUGGGUGGGGCCGCGUUGGUUUCGCCAGUUGGUAGGGUAAAAGCCUACCAAGGCGACGAUGCAUAGCUGGUCGGUGAAGAGGCUCAGCCAGGCUGGAGCUGAGACACGGCCCAGACUCCUACGCAAGACAGCAGUAUGGUAUACUAUACGAGGAACGCAAGCCUGAUCCAGCCAUGCCGCGUGUGACAGGAAGGCCGUAGGAUUGUAAAGCUCUUUUACCCGAGACGAGAAUGACAGUACCGGGAGAAGAAGCACCGGCUAACUCCGUG